UAUUUCUCAUUUUGUUUCAUAUAUAAUGUGUCUAAUUUCAUUUAUACAUUUAUUUUAAUCCUCCAAUACACUCAUAGAUCUCCUCACCCAGUUUAUAAAAUGGUUUCAAUGUAAGAAAGCUUACCUGUUGUGUUUUUCUCAAGUGCUGUACCGGCAUCGGAAACCACAGUCCAGUCCUCCUCUCUAGUGGCUGCUGACAGACUCACCGGUUGUGUUUUUCUCCACAUUAUUAUCAGUAGCGGGUUCACCGGCAUCCGAAACCACAGUCCAGUCCUCCUCGUCCAGCCAGGGACAGAAGUUACUGCAGAAGCUGAUGGUCUCAAAAGAUGAACCUGAAAAACAAAAUCAGUCAUGAGGGUCAAUUUUCAGAAACUUUCUGAACUAUUCAUAACAAAACAUCUCCAUGGAAAAUGAUGAACUAUUCCUCAAUACACUGAAGAUUGCUGCAUGAAAGAAAAUAUUUGACUCAGGCAAUGUAUUCUUGGCUCUUCCUAAA
Non-coding RNA from Danio rerio (zebrafish), 496 nucleotides. The record is from Ensembl. NCBI's taxonomy places the organism in Eukaryota, Metazoa, Chordata, Actinopteri, Cypriniformes, Danionidae.